UUGACCUCGGAUCAGGUAGGGAUACCCGCUGAACUUAAGCAUAUCAAUAAGACGGAGGAAUA
RNAcentral lists this ribosomal RNA (62 nucleotides) under Bipolaris maydis (southern corn leaf blight pathogen). Its description in RNAcentral is "partial 28S ribosomal RNA". The record is from RNAcentral. Lineage: Eukaryota; Fungi; Ascomycota; Dothideomycetes; Pleosporales; Pleosporaceae.